RNAcentral lists this unclassified non-coding RNA (1265 nucleotides) under Hevea brasiliensis (rubber tree). The record is from RNAcentral. Lineage: Eukaryota; Viridiplantae; Streptophyta; Magnoliopsida; Malpighiales; Euphorbiaceae.
GCUACGUCAUCAUUUAAGAAUAAAAAAAGUUUAAAAGGAAAGAGGAGAUACUAUGCACAAAGUUAAACGCACUGACAGGCAAUAAUUGUAAGUGUAAUACUUAUGAGGUCCUAAAGACCAACAAAAGUUGCUACUGCUUGGGGCACAUUUGACAUAGAGUUAUAUGGGGUUCUAUGUGAUGUACGACGCGCCUUUGACAGCAUUGAAAAACUAAGGCUGAUGAGAGUUAUGCCCUUGAUCUUGAUGCACGUUUGAAGGCGAUGUAACUACUGGUAUGUCUAAGCUGGUCCUUUCUGUUUCAGAUGCUACCUCUCUUACAUCAGCUAUUCUGGACUCUGUUGGUUGAAUAUCACUCCACUCACCAUUUUCAAUUGACUGAUGGUUCGUUUGAUCUACUGUUAGAUCAACUACAUUCUCUGGAGGCACAUGAUCGAUGGCCCUCGAAACGCUUAAACAUGCUUUGUCCACAUUCUCUUCUGAUAAAUCCACAUGCUUGGUUUGUGGUAAGUUAUCAAUACUACUUGAGCAAGACUCUGUCUUCUCAAACACUUGAUUCAUAUCUACAUGCUGCCUUGUUAAUUGUGCUUGUAACAUAUUCACAUAUGCCAGCAGUUCUUGCUUUUCCUUUGCAGUAGCAGACUCUCUUUGUACAGCUUCUCUUAUUCUAGCUUCCGCAUCAGCCUCUGCUACUCUGACCUUUUCUUCUGCCCGAACAACAGCCCCUUCCAGUAUUACUGCCUGUUCUCUAGCUUUUGCGAGCUCAGAACGCCAUAAAUGUGCUUCUUGAAUUGCCGAAUCUCUAUGCUUUAUCAGUUGAUCCAUUUCCUUACUCAGGGUCAUAAACUUCUCUUCGAACUCCCUCAGCUUUGACUUUGAUGAAACCAGUUGCUUUUCUGAAUCUGCCUUUAAGCGCUCAACCUCAGCACAAGCAAUUUUCCUUUGUUCAUUCAUAGUUUGAGCUGCAGAUGCAGCAGCUUCUGCAGCUUCAGCGGUUUCAGAUAGUUGAUCUGCUAACUCUUUAAUUGUCGAAUCCCUAGCACGUAUUUCCCUGGCCAGAUUUUGCAAUUCUUCAUCCUUAACUCUCAGUGUCUCCUUCAUUAUUGAUAGGUCAUCCAUAGGGCUAUCAGGUGUACGGUUCAACAUUGCUUCUAAAGCAUUUCUCAUUGCAAUCUGCAUUGCUGCCUCGAUUUCCUUCGAAGCUUCAAGAGCAGUUGAAUUAGCUGCCGCGACAACAGUGGCCACUGUUCCCAAUUUUGCUGACCCAU